This 1963-nucleotide ribosomal RNA is filed under the name human gut metagenome. RNAcentral describes it as "bacterial LSU rRNA". It matches the Rfam family "Bacterial large subunit ribosomal RNA", at positions 1 to 1990 of the family's 2925-position model. The record is from RNAcentral.
UUAAGUGACUAAGCGUACAAGGUGGAUGCCUUGGCAAUCAGAGGCGAGGAAGGACGUGCUAAUCUGCGAAAAGCUUGGAUGAGUCGAUAAGAGGCGUUUAAUCCAAGAUGUCCGAAUGGGGAAACCCAGUAGAUGAAGAAUCUACUAUCACUUACUGAAUCCAUAGGUAAGUGAGGCAAACCGGGAGAACUGAAACAUCUAAGUACCCCGAGGAAAAGAAAUCAACCGAGAUUUCGUUAGUAGCGGCGAGCGAACGCGAAGGAGCCUGUUAGUGAUAAUGACAGAGACAGAGGAACAAGCUGGGAAGCUUGGCGAUACAGGGUGAUAGCCCCGUACUCGAAGUCCAGGUCAUGGUACUAAGCUAACGACAAGUAGGGCGGGACACGUGAUAUCCUGUUUGAAGAUGGGGGGACCAUCCUCCAAGGCUAAAUACUCCUACAUGACCGAUAGUGAACCAGUACUGUGAAGGAAAGGCGAAAAGAACCCCGGCGAGGGGAGUGAAAAAGAACCUGAAACCUUGUACGUACAAGCAGUGGGAGCACCUUCGGGUGUGACUGCGUACCUUUUGUAUAAUGGGUCAGCGACUUAUAUUCUGUAGCGAGGUUAACCGAAUAGGGGAGCCGAAGGGAAACCGAGUCUUAACUGGGCGUCUAGUUGCAAGGUAUAGACCCGAAACCCGGUGAUCUAGCCAUGGGCAGGUUGAAGGUUGGGUAACACUAACUGGAGGACCGAACCGACUAAUGUUGAAAAAUUAGCGGAUGACUUGUGGCUGGGGGUGAAAGGCCAAUCAAACCGGGAGAUAGCUGGUUCUCCCCGAAAUCUAUUUAGGUAGAGCCUUGAGCGGACACCUUCGGGGGUAGAGCACUGUUUCGGCUAGGGGUCCAUCCCGGAUUACCAACCCGAUGCAAACUACGAAUACCGAAGAGUGAUACUCAGGAGACACACGGCGGGUGCUAACGUCCGUCGUGAAGAGGGAAACAACCCAGACCGCCAGCUAAGGUCCCAAAGUCAUGGUUAAGUGGGAAACGAUGUGGGAAGGCCCAGACAGCCAGGAUGUUGGCUUAGAAGCAGCCAUCAUUUAAAGAAAGCGUAAUAGCUCACUAGUCGAGUCGGCCUGCGCGGAAGAUGUAACGGGGCUCAAAUAUAGCACCGAAGCUGCGGCAUCAGACGAAAGUCUGUUGGGUAGGGGAGCGUUCUGUAAGCGGAUGAAGGUGGCUCGAGAGGGCUGCUGGACGUAUCAGAAGUGCGAAUGCUGACAUAAGUAACGAUAAAACGGGUGAAAAACCCGUUCGCCGGAAGACCAAGGGUUCCUGUCCAACGUUAAUCGGGGCAGGGUGAGUCGGCCCCUAAGGCGAGGCUGAAAAGCGUAGUCGAUGGGAAACGGGUUAAUAUUCCCGUACUUGGAUAAACUGCGAUGUGGGGACGGAGCAGGUUAGGUUAUCGCACUGUUGGAUAUGUGCGUUUAAGUUGGUAGGUGUGAAGUUUAGGCAAAUCCGGACUUCUUUAACACUGAGAGAUGAUGACGAGGCUCUACGGAGCUGAAGUAACCGAUACCACACUUCCAGGAAAAGCCACUAAGCUUCAGGUUUAUCUAAACCGUACUGAAAACCGACACAGGUGGUCAGGUAGAGAAUACUCAGGCGCUUGAGAGAACUCGGGUGAAGGAACUAGGCAAAAUAGCACCGUAACUUCGGGAGAAGGUGCGCCGGCGUAGAUUGUAGUCCCUUGCGGGCGAAGGUUGAACCGGUCGAAGAUACCAGCUGGCUGCAACUGUUUAUUAAAAACACAGCACUCUGCAAACACGAAAGUGGACGUAUAGGGUGUGACGCCUGCCCGGUGCCGGAAGGUUAAUUGAUGGGGUUAUCCGUAAGGAGAAGCUCUUGAUCGAAGCCCCGGUAAACGGCGGCCGUAACUAUAACGGUCCUAAGGUAGCGAAAUUCCUUGUCGGGUAAGUUCCGACCUG